AGAGUUUGAUCAUGGCUCAGAUUGAACGCUGGCGGCAUGCCUUACACAUGCAAGUCGAACGGUAGAGUAGCAAUACUCGAGAGUGGCGAACGGGUGAGUAAUAUAUCGGAACGUGCCCAGUCGUGGGGGAUAACGUAGAGAAAUUUACGCUAAUACCGCAUACGAUCUAAGGAUGAAAGCGGGGGAUCGCAAGACCUCGCGCGAUUGGAGCGGCUGAUAUCAGAUUAGGUUGUUGGUGAGGUAAAAGCUCACCAAGCCGACGAUCUGUAGCUGGUUUGAGAGAACGACCAGCCACACUGGGACUGAGACACGGCCCAGACUCCUACGGGAGGCAGCAGUGGGGAAUUUUGGACAAUGGGCGAAAGCCUGAUCCAGCAAUGCCGCGUGCAGGAAGAAGGCCUUCGGGUUGUAAACUGCUUUUGUACGGAACGAAACGGCUCUUUCUAAUAAAGAGGGCCAAUGACGGUACCGUAAGAAUAAGCACCGGCUAACUACGUGCCAGCAGCCGCGGUAAUACGUAGGGUGCGAGCGUUAAUCGGAAUUACUGGGCGUAAAGCGUGCGCAGGCGGUUCUAUAAGACAGAUGUGAAAUCCCCGGGCUCAACCUGGGAAUGGCAUUUGUGACUGUAGGGCUAGAGUACGGUAGAGGGGGAUGGAAUUCCGCGUGUAGCGUGAAAUGCGUAGAUAUGCGGAGGAACACCGAUGGCGAAGGCAAUCCCCUGGACCUGUACUGACGCUCAUGCACGAAAGCGUGGGGAGCAAACAGGAUUAGAUACCCUAGUAGUCC
Molecule: ribosomal RNA, 786 nt
Filed under: uncultured bacterium
Lineage: Bacteria
Description: bacterial SSU rRNA
Rfam family: Bacterial small subunit ribosomal RNA
Source: RNAcentral